GCCAUUCCACCAAUAGCUAUCUUUCACAUCAUGGUACAUCUUGGUGGAACCUGGGUGGAUACUGUACAGUGUAUAGUGUGCCUCUCGCAUGAUUUCAUUCCUGAGGUUGUCCACAUCGGGCACACAUAUCCUAGAACCUUGCACUAGGGCGCCAUCAUUGGCAAACCCAAACUCACCACCUUCACCUUGCUGUACUCUUUCUAUGAUCUUCAUCAAUUGUUGGUCUCUGUGCUGGGAAACUCUAACUCUGUCCCUCAAGUCUGGCCUCACUGAAAAGUGAGCCAACAAUACCCCAUCAUCUGAAAGAUCUAGGAUUAAACCUUGAUCCAUCAACUCAUGUACCUCCUGAAUCAACAGUCUCUUCUCUGCUGAAAUGUGCGCCAAACUGCCAGAAGAUUUUCUGCUCAAGGCAUCUGCCACAAAAUUGGCCUUUCCAGGGUGGUACUGGAUGAUGCAAUCAUAGUCUUUCAGAAGCUCCAUC
Molecule: unclassified non-coding RNA, 481 nt
Filed under: Hevea brasiliensis (rubber tree)
Lineage: Eukaryota; Viridiplantae; Streptophyta; Magnoliopsida; Malpighiales; Euphorbiaceae
Source: RNAcentral